CAUGAAGCCGGAAUUGCUAGUAAUGGCAGGUCAGCAUACUGCCGUGAAUACGUUCCCGGGCCUUGUACACACCGCCCGUCACACCAUGAGAGUUGGGAAUACCCGAAGCCUGUGAGCUAACUUUUAGAGGCAGCAGUCGAAGGUAGAAUCAAUGAUUGGGGGUGAAGUCGUAACAAGGUACC
Molecule: ribosomal RNA, 182 nt
Filed under: uncultured bacterium
Lineage: Bacteria
Description: partial 16S ribosomal RNA
Rfam family: Bacterial small subunit ribosomal RNA
Source: RNAcentral